Molecule: ribosomal RNA, 465 nt
Filed under: uncultured bacterium
Lineage: Bacteria
Description: bacterial SSU rRNA
Rfam family: Bacterial small subunit ribosomal RNA
Source: RNAcentral
ACUCCUACGGGAGGCAGCAGUAGGAAUAUUGGGCAAUGGGCGGAAGCCUGACCAGCCAUGCCGCGUGAAGGAAGACGGCCUUCUGGGUUGUAAACUUCUUUUAUACAGGAAGAAAAGGCCAUGCGUGGCCAAUUGACGGUACUGUAUGAAUAAGCACCGGCUAACUCCGUGCCAGCAGCCGCGGUAAUACGGAGGGUGCAAGCGUUGUCCGGAUUUAUUGGGUUUAAAGGGUGCGUAGGCGGUACGUUAAGUCAGUGGUGAAAUCCCGCAGCUCAACUGCGGAACUGCCAUUGAUACUGGCGUACUUGAGUACAGACGAGGUAGGCGGAAUUUAUGGUGUAGCGGUGAAAUGCAUAGAUACCAUAAAGAACACCGAUAGCGAAGGCAGCUUACUAGACUGUGACUGACGCUCAGGCACGAAAGCGUGGGGAGCGAACAGGAUUAGAUACCCUGGUAGCCUCUGCU